This 133-nucleotide ribosomal RNA is filed under the name Colobus angolensis palliatus. Lineage: Eukaryota; Metazoa; Chordata; Mammalia; Primates; Cercopithecidae. The record is from RNAcentral.
GUCUGUGGCCACACCACCCUGAAAGCGCCUGAUCUCAUCUGAUCUCGGAAGCUAAGCAGGGUCGGGCCUGGUUAGGACUUGGAUGGGAGAAACUUUCUGCACCUCAGGAGAUACCUGAUGGGCAUCACCAUCU